This 403-nucleotide ribosomal RNA is filed under the name Bacteroidota bacterium. Its description in RNAcentral is "Bacteroidetes bacterium partial 16S ribosomal RNA". It matches the Rfam family "Bacterial small subunit ribosomal RNA", at positions 355 to 776 of the family's 1533-position model. Lineage: Bacteria; Pseudomonadati; Bacteroidota. The record is from RNAcentral.
UGGGGAAUAUUGCACAAUGGGGGAAACCCUGAUGCAGCGACGCCGCGUGAACGAAGAAGGUAUUCGUAUCGUAAAGUUCUGUCCUAUGGGAAGAUAAUGACAGUCCCAUAGAAGAAAGCUCCGGCUAAAUACGUGCCAGCAGCUGCGUUAAUACGUAUGGAGCGAGCGUUGUCCGGAAUUAUUGGGCGUAAAGGGGACGCAGGCGGUUUAAUAAGUCGAAUGUUAAAGAUCGGGGCUCAACCCCGUAAAGCAUUGGAAACUGAUAAACUUGAAUAGUGGAGAGGAAAGUGGAAUUCCUAGUGUAGUGGAGAAAUACGUAGAUAUUAGGAGGAAUACCAGUAGCGAAGGCGACAUUCUAGACACAAACUGACGCUGAGGUACGAAAGCGUGGGGAGCAAACAGG